CGCCUAGCGCAUGCAAGGUGCUGGGUUCAAUCCUCAGCACCACAUAAAAAUAAAUAAAGAUAUUGUGUCCAUAUUUAAAAAAUCUUUAAAAACUUUUUUUUAAAAAUAUAUUAAAAAAAGGCUGGAGGUGUAGCUCAGUGGUUAAGCACCCCUGGGUUCAAUCCCUGGUACCAAAAUAAUACUACUACUAAUAAUAGAAUGAUCUGGGAAUAUAGUUCAGUGGUGGAGCAUUUGCUUAGCAUGUGUGAGGCCCUGAGUUCAAUCCCCAGGACCAGGAGGAUUGAAAAAAAAAAAAUAAAGAAUCAGAUAGUGAUAUUGCUAUGUGGUGAUUUAAUACAGAGUUACGCACUUUGGGUAGUCAGGUUAAAGCAGACUGAGGAGACGACAUGUAAACCAAAAGAUGAUUCACCAGCUGAGGUCAGGAGAAAGAUGUAGAAGGAACAGUACAAAGGUUCUAGGAAUUAAUUCACAUAACAGCAUGGCUGAGUGAAAGGGGAAAUGGCGUAAGGCAAGGUCAGAAAGUUAGGCAGGACUCUGAUCACACCAAGAUGUGUGAAUUUUAUACUGAGUUAUAGAUGGAAAAAACCAUUGAAGAUUUUGAAGCCCAGGAGAAGCACACUUUGAUUUAUAAAAGAUACCUCUAGCCACUGUGUGAAAAGAGUGGAAAUAAGAAAAGCAGUUAGGAUAAUAGUAGUUAUUAUAGGACACUAUUGUGUCCUAAGCAGACAAGGAAUGGUGAUGGUUUGAACUGUGGAGUGCUGCUAGAAAUAGAGAAAAAGGACGACCUUCAGGAUAGAUUUUGGAGGUGGAAUUGUCAGACUUAUCUGUAGGUUAGACAGAAAGGGUGAAUGAAAGGUAGGAAUCACGGGAAAAGAAACUCUUAGGAUUUCUCCCGGAGCAACCAGGUGCAUGGUGAUGUAUUUUACAGAGGAAGAGAAUAUGAAAGAAAUGGAUAGGGCAAGAAUAAAAAGUUUUGUUUUGACCAUGUUGUUUGAACCACUUCUUUGAUAUCCAGAUGAUAUCGGGAAGACCGGGAUUAGAGUUAGAAGUCCUGGAAAAAAGUCAGGAUGAGGGAUAGAAUUCAAUUGUCAUCCGCUAUAGAUGGUUUUUAAAACCAAGAGACCAGAUGAGACCUAGAAAGAGGGCAGAGAAAGACAAUAAGGAGCCCAGGAUUGAGCCUUUAUAUAGGAAUCUUUAUUUAGAAAUCAAACAGAGGAAGAGGAGGCAGCUAAUGUUAUCAAAAGGGCCCUUGAGAUAUAUUAGAAACUUAGGGAUGGUGGUGCCAUAGAUGCCAAGAGAAGAAUGUUUCUCCAAAGACAAGAAUGGUCAACUGUAGGGCUGGGGUUGUAGCUUAGUGGUAGAGCUCUUGCCUAGCAUGUGUUGAGGCACUGGGUUUGAUUCUCAGCAUUGCAUAUAAAUAAAUAAAUUUUAAAAAUAAAGGUCCAUUGACAUUUAAAAAAAAAGAAAGAAAAGAAAGAAUGGUCAGCUGUGUCAAAUGCUGGUGCAAGAAGUGAGAUAAAAACACACUGUAUUUGGCAAAAAUCCUAGUGGACCCAGGGGGCUGAAAGCCCAGUUGGACUGGAUUGAAAGAGAAUGGGGGUGAUAUGAG
Molecule: long non-coding RNA, 1609 nt
Filed under: Marmota monax (woodchuck)
Lineage: Eukaryota; Metazoa; Chordata; Mammalia; Rodentia; Sciuridae
Source: RNAcentral